This 924-nucleotide long non-coding RNA is filed under the name Salmo salar (Atlantic salmon). RNAcentral describes it as "lncRNA (ENSSSAG00000081941.1)". The record is from RNAcentral. Lineage: Eukaryota; Metazoa; Chordata; Actinopteri; Salmoniformes; Salmonidae.
AAAAAUCUCAAUCAAGCAGAGAGUCUCAAGCAUCUGCUCAAACUCCAUUUGUGUGGAGCAAUUUCCUCACCAGGGACCAGGCCCAAAUUAGAUUUUUGUUGGCAAGUUCAGCUAUUUACAAAGCAAAAGGUAUCAUGGCUCAAGAUUUGAGGAAGAAAUCGUCAAGAGAUAUGCUGGACCCUAUAUCAGAGAGAUGCAGACAAUGACCCAAAGCACACUGCCGCCCAGGUUUGCGUCGCAAAUGAGGGCAUAAACUGGGUCAAGACGCCAGCAGAAGUUUUUGCAGAUUUCAGUAGGCAGGUGGAUCUGAGCCCGCUUGAGACGAACUGUAGGUUUGAUUCGUGUGGGUGGAAUGACAUGGCUUGUUCUCCUUUGGAGCAGGCUGCUAAGGAGCGUAAAAAAAGCAGGCAUCUGUGUGAACUGGAGACAACUCACCAAUGGGACCUGUGUUGUCGGGUGCCCAACAGGGAUGGUGUACAUGGAGUGUCAAGGCCAGUUGGAUGACUACUGUUGUGGAGGGUAACUGAAUUCUGCUACCUUGCUCCUUAUAAUACUGUCUUGGUCGGUGUGUUGAGGGUAUACUGUACGGUAAGUGCAGAACAAUGGCUUAAUGUUUCCUUAGUAUAAUAGGUUUUUCAGCUAGUGCACAUCGGUCAUAAGGCCUUUUCUAUAUUGCAUAUACUCUGUUCCGGUGCAGGAAGUUGACCAUUGUAUGUAGCAUAUUGUUGAUUGUAUGUAUUCCAUAGAUUUCACAUAGGAAAUCUUCUAAUGAUCAACACAGCACUUUUAGCACUUUUUAAUCUAAAAGACUGCAUCUCCAAUUUUAAAAUGAUUUUCUUAUUUUAUUGAAAUGUUUAUUUUAGUUAUACGAGUUCUGUAUGUUCGCCAAUCGUUUCAUGAACUGUAACCACAUUGAUUUUGCUG